GGAUGGUCUGAGUACAGUGAUGAUGUUUACAACUGAUUGAUCACAACCACUUACAGAUUUCUUUGUUCCUUCUCCACUCCCACUGCUUCACUUGACUAGCCUCAA
This is an unclassified non-coding RNA of Prolemur simus (greater bamboo lemur), 105 nucleotides long. It matches the Rfam family "Y RNA". Rfam says of the family: Y RNAs are components of the Ro ribonucleoprotein particle (Ro RNP), in association with Ro60 and La proteins. Lineage: Eukaryota; Metazoa; Chordata; Mammalia; Primates; Lemuridae. The record is from Ensembl.